This 129-nucleotide small nucleolar RNA is filed under the name Mus spicilegus (steppe mouse). RNAcentral describes it as "Small nucleolar RNA SNORA17 (ENSMSIG00000010351.1)". It matches the Rfam family "Small nucleolar RNA SNORA17". From Rfam's summary of the family: snoRNA ACA 17 belongs to the H/ACA family of snoRNAs and is predicted to guide pseudouridylation of the 28S rRNA at positions U4659 and U4598. It shares the same host gene together with ACA43. Lineage: Eukaryota; Metazoa; Chordata; Mammalia; Rodentia; Muridae. The record is from RNAcentral.
ACCUGAACCUGGAAGCAUUGCAGGUGUGGCUACUGUGUUGCAUGAGUAUUAGUGGGUGGGAGAGGAGAGAGGUCUAUGUCUAGCCUCUGUGUUCUAACCUAUGAGCAUCUGAUUUAAUAGGUUAACAUU